This 22-nucleotide microRNA is filed under the name Caenorhabditis remanei. Its description in RNAcentral is "crm-miR-54". Its record names the gene crm-miR-54. The record is from miRBase by way of RNAcentral. Lineage: Eukaryota; Metazoa; Nematoda; Chromadorea; Rhabditida; Rhabditidae.
GGGAUAUGAAAUCACGUGAACA